GGGAGGAGGCUCUAGGGUUGUAAACCUCUUUUCUCAAGGAAGAAAAAAAUGACGGUACUUGAGGAAUAAGCAUCGGCUAACUCCGUGCCAGCAGCCGCGGUAAUACGGAGGAUGCAAGCGUUAUCCGGAAUGAUUGGGCGUAAAGCCUCCGCAGGUGGCUGUGAAAGUCUGCUGUUAAAGAAUGACAUUCAACCUCAUCAGAGCAGUGGAAACUACACGGCUAGAGUGCGUUCGGGGUAGAGGGAAUUCCUGGUGUAGCGGUGAAAUGCGUAGAUAUCAGGAAGAACACCGGUGGCGAAGGCGCUCUACUAGGCCGCAACUGACACUGAGGGACAAAAGCUAGGGGAGCGAAUGGGA
This 357-nucleotide ribosomal RNA is filed under the name Desmonostoc muscorum Meg1. Its description in RNAcentral is "bacterial SSU rRNA". It matches the Rfam family "Bacterial small subunit ribosomal RNA", at positions 405 to 777 of the family's 1533-position model. The record is from RNAcentral. Lineage: Bacteria; Bacillati; Cyanobacteriota; Cyanophyceae; Nostocales; Nostocaceae.